ACCUCAGUUUCUUUGUCCUGUCAAUUCCUCACAAAUUUAUUGUUUCUUUGCCUAAACAGUAUAAAAGCUGCCUGCUCUGACUACUACUUAGGUCCCAUUUCUGUGAGACCUCUGUGUGCAGGGUUAGAGAUUUGUUUUUUCCUCCUGUUAAUCUGUCUUGUGUCAAUUUUAUUAUCGGUUCAGCCGCAAGAACUCAAAAGGAAAAUUCCCCCUCGCUGACAGUAUAUUCACCUAAUUAUAAAGAUUUCUGUGUGGAACUGUCUUUAUCCAUAUUAAACUAAAGAUGAGUUUAUACUGAUGUCUCCAACAUGAUCUUUUAUCACAUGGAUGUUGUAACCUUCUCCCCUUAAUUAUCUGUAACUUUCCACUCCGACGGUGAGAAAACUGCAUCCCACGGUCUGUCAUUUAUUUAAUUCAUUGCUUGUUCUCUUCCAGGUUACAGAUAUACUGGUUUCAGUAUUGGUAGCUACUACCCCAUGGGAAAGACUUUUAUAAAAUAGAGUCCACUGUUUACGUGUGGUUCAUUUUGCCUUUAGUCUACAGAGUCUGCUCAUUUCCAAAGUUACUGAGGUCACCACCAGCACCAUUAUGAGUGGAGGUGCUGCGGACACAGUUGAUCAAAACAGUUGUCUAAAUGGUGGAAGAGCAAUUGUUGGAUCCUGAGGUGAGACUUGUUUGGUUUUGGGAAAAAAGUGCCAAGCUGUCUUUUGAAGGAGCUGUACAUGCGUUUCGUCAGCAAAGAGGGAGAGUUCCUAUUUUUCCUCACCCUCCAGCAAUCGUUUCUGUCACUUUUUUGGAGUUUACCAGUUCUCAUAAGUGUGCAAUGCUAUCUUGUUUUCAUUUGUAAUUCUCCAGUGGUAUAUGAUACUAAACAUAUUGUAUGCUUAUCUAUUUUCUGUAUGUUAUUUGACCAGGUGUCUGUUCAGAUCUUUACCCACUUUAAAUGGUAUUGUUUUGGAGUUCUUGGUAUAAUUUGAGUACUUUUAUCAGAUACGUGUUUUGAGAAUAUUUUUUUCUCUCUGUGGCUUGUCUUUUGGUUUUCUGAAUAAGGUCUUUCACGGAGUAACGAUUUUUAAUUUUCUAAAGUCCACAUUAUAAUUUCUUUUUUCUUUUGUGGGUAGACUUUUGGGAUUUUUGUGUUAAAAUUCAUUACCAAAGCUGAUAGGGAUAGAGUAGGAUAGUUACACAGGUAGUUGUAGAAGUCCCGGUAGGGCAUUAUGGAUAGAGAGGGAAACCUAGGGAAAUUUGGGAGAACACUGAGAGUUAAUGACCGCUCAAAAGAAGCUAUCUGAAUGUCGGGGAAGAAGCAGGCUUGUUUAACUAUAAAUAAAUAAAACCACGAGAUAUACCCUAGGUCAUUAAGUGAAAGGAACAGAUGAGGCCUGCAUUCUGCUGGUUCAGCAAGGUGAUGGCCCUUAGGACCAAGGACAGGUAUCCUGCCUGAUACUAAACAGGUGCAGUGAUGGAAGCCUGACCUCAACUCGAAGAAUGACGAAGAAAGCGGUCUCUUCCCCCUCCCCACUUCCCCUUGGUUAUAAAAAUGUAGCCCACUUAAUCCUUGGGGCAGAGCCCCCUCUCUUGCCCGCUUGCAUCCCUCACAAGUGUCCUGUAAGUCUACUUCUUGCCUAUCAUUUUGCCUCUCGCUGAAUUGGAGACACAAAGAACCUGAGCCUCAGUAAGUCCAGACACCAGGUGAGUGAUUCUAAUGAAAAGACUGUGGGUUCUAGCCCCCAAUCUGGGUUUUGGCUGGGUCCGAGUCCCGGCACAUGGCUUCAAGUCCCAAUCAGAGGUGUGUGGUUUAAAACCAAGGUUAUGUAGAUUUUCUUCUAGAAUUUUUAUAGUUCUGCAUUAUAAAUUUGUCUAUGGACAAUGUUGAGUAAAUUUUGGUGUGAGUU
Aethalodelphis obliquidens (Pacific white-sided dolphin) is the source of this 1895-nucleotide long non-coding RNA. RefSeq lists it as uncharacterized. The record is from RefSeq and is a predicted model, not a curated record. The transcript has 2 exons. NCBI's taxonomy places the organism in Eukaryota, Metazoa, Chordata, Mammalia, Artiodactyla, Delphinidae.